Molecule: long non-coding RNA, 3266 nt
Organism: Cydia splendana
Lineage: Eukaryota; Metazoa; Arthropoda; Insecta; Lepidoptera; Tortricidae
Exons: 2
Source: RefSeq, a predicted model, not a curated record
GUGUCACGAAAUGGUCCCAUCUCAGCAUGUUGCUGGCGACUUCCAGCGCUGAUCUUCCGAUUAGACCAUCAAGUGAGAAAUAAUCACGGAAGGUAACAGACAAAAAAAUAAGUAAAGAAACAUAAAAUAAACCGAAAAAUUGAUUACACACAUUUUACACAGCUAAUACAAAAAAGAGAUGAAUUAAGUACACGGAUUAACCGAUCGAACUUGUACCAUCCGGUCGGGUCACAUCGUGGCGCGGCAUUAGGCGCGCAUAACUAGCGCCAGCGGUAGCUACACGAAAUUAAAUUCGAUGACAGAUUUGACAAACAAUAAAGUGAGUGAAUCUAAUAUAAUAUUAUGUAAAAUCUCAAUCAGUUUUAACUUUUUAGUCAUGAAAACAAUGUUACAAAGUUGGCUAAAAUACAUAAACAAAAACAACACCAAAGUUAAACAAAUAGAAACAUAAUGAAAUUACACAGAUAAAAAGGAUGGCGUGUCGGGAAUGGUGUCGACUCCUAUGCGGAAGGAACAAGAACAUUGUGGUUUCUCACUGGGGGCGGAAUGUUGUUCCAACAGCGGGACGCAGAAUAUUUAAAGCUUCCUCGGAAAGCGGCUGAGGCAUGACGCGGCGUCAACAGAUGAAUCCCACAAUCACGGCGUUCGCGGAGCUUGAUGCAAGAUAGCUUGUUGAAGAGAUAUGAAGGAGUUUUAUAGUUCAGUACGCCAAAGAGCAAACAAGCCAAGUGUAGUUUACGGCGGUGUUGCAUUUUGAGGAUGCUAUGGCUAUUCAGAUAUGGGGUCACGUGAGCUCUCAACGGAAUAUCGAAACAGAAGCGAGCACAGGCAUUUUGAACACGCUGUAUGAGUCGUUUAGUUUUUGCAAGAAGUCUUGGCCCAAACACAACAUCCACGUAGUUCAGCUUUGAUAGGACGAGUGAUUCAAUUAAUUGAAUGCGCAGGUUUUCACUUAAAUAUGGCCGAAUUUUAUAUAGUACCUUAAGUUUAUAAAAGCAACUCCUAAUGGCCUCAGCGGUAUGUUUCUCAUAUCGUAGUCCGCAGUCCAUUAUGAGACCUAAGUUACGCGCCUCAUACACCCUCUCAACUGGUUUGUUCAUUAGCAGAACAUCCACUGAAAUGCUGGCACCGGCCAGUUGCUGCUUGCUGCCAAACACAAGGUAUUUUGUUUUGCUAGGGUUAAGUAGUAGGCAGUUUUGUGUAGCCCAUCCAGCAAUUCUGGUGAGAUCUUCAUUUAGUUUCCCUAUGGUACUGUUGAUAUCGGCGGGCUUACAUGAUAUAUAUACUUGUAUGUCAUCUGCGUAGAUGUGGUAUUUGCAAUGCGUGAUGUGAGAUGUAAUAUCUGCAGAAUAUAAUAUAAACAGGAGCGGGCCAAUCACGGAUCCUUGCGGAACUCCUCUAGUUAGCUCGGCUUUCUCAGAAAAAAGUGAAGAACCAUCACUGAGAUGCACCGUUACAAUUUGCGAUCGGUUAGACAGAUAGCUUGCAAACCACAUUACAGUUUUAUGGUCAAAACCAUAGUAGCUCAACUUCGAUAAUAGCAGGUUAAUAUUCAAACAAUCGAAUGCCCUCGAAAAGUCGAGGAGUACUAAAAGUGUGCACAUUCCCUUGUCUUGAGCAUCCAAAAUGUUAUCAGUGACAUCCAAUAGAGCAGUCAUUGUACUACGUCCUUUGCGGAAACCUGAUUGGACAUCUGGCAAAAUAUUGUUUUUUUCUAGGUAGGUGGUUAACUGUGAGCAGACAACUUUUUCCAAUAUUUUAGAUAGGCAGGGUAGUAUGCUUAUGGGCCUAAGGUCUUUAGGCAUGGUUGGGUUUGAUACUUUAGGCAAGGGGUUUACUAAUGCUAACUUCCAGAUAUCUGGAAAGGUGGAUGUAACAAUAGAGGUAUUAAUUAGGCUUGUAAUGAUGUCAAUUGUGUAUGGGAAAGUUAAGAUAAGCAUAUUCAAAUUUAUCCCGUCAAAACCCUCGGCGUUAGAUUUUAGACAUUUAAUUAUUUUGAUAAUCUGGCUAGAAUUAAUAGUGUCUAAGUGGAAAACAGAGUCACUGUGCUUAUGGAACUCAAAAUAAGUUAGCUGUGAUAUAGUGACACCUGUAGUUCCCGGCAGCUCUAGAAAAUGUUUAUUUAAGAUAUCGGGGUUAUUGAAAAAAGUAGGUAAUUCUUUAUCCUUUUUAGGCAAGACUGCUGACUUUAAGUUUUUCCAUAAAGUUUUAGGUUCUUUUAUUUUAUUAUUUAUAUUUUGUUUGAAAUAUGCAACUUUUUCAAAAUAUAAAGCUUUAUUUACAACAGAUUUAAGAUCUUUGUAGUAUUUCUUUUUAACAUCACUCUGGUUUUUGUGGAAGUCUGCCGCAGCACUGUCACGCAGCCUCAUCAUAUGUUUGAUGGUGUCAGUAAUCCAGGGGUAGGAUUGUGUUGUAACUAGGGACGUCUUUACAGGGGCAUGUACAUUAAAUAGACUAAGUACUUGUUGAUUAAAAACAUUAAUCAUGUCAUUUACAUUUUCAAGAUUUGAUAUUAAGUCCCAUCUCACGCACUGCAAGUCCACAUCUAAAUCUUUGUCGCAGAUAUUUUUAAAAGGCCUGUAGGUAAUGUGGUAAGGUUUUAGUUUCUCGCGCUUAAUAUUAAAAUUACAGACAACAAGACAAUGACCAUACAGUGAACCCACAUGAUCCAUGUGAGUGCUAGCAGCCCGCAAGUCAGAGCAGACAACGUCGAUCAGCGUCUGGCUGGUGUCAGUGAAAUGCGUAGGCUGAGACACCAAUUGAGUUAAUCCAGUACUUGUUAUGAAGUUAUUGAACUGAGUGGUUUUUGUGUCGGUGCCAUUCAAUAAGUUAACAUUGAAGUCACCAAGUAUAAUUAGAUUAUCGUAGCCACGGAUUGCACUAACUGAGUCAGUUAAGGCAUCAAAAAAUAAUUGCAGAUCCAUCCAAGGUGGUCGGUAUGCCGUUCCGAUUACCAGCUUCUUUCCGUUGAGAGUAAAUGUGAUCCACAUCUGCUCCACCAGCUUAUGCAACGGGUCAACGGGAUGAGGCCAGGUCCGAGCUUUGAGAUUACGCUUAAUAUAAAAGCCUACGCCUCCACCGCGCGACCGGUCGCCCUGCGGUCUAGGAAUAUGCCGGAAACUAUAUCCAGAAAGUGUCGGCGCCCGCCCUUCUUCACCCGCCCUUAACCAUGAUUCGUUGAUCGCCAACACAUCAACAUCCUGCCGAGUAGCAGCCGCUAUGAAAUUGUCAUGAUUUGUGCCAAGAGAACCUGCAUUGUACAAACC